RNAcentral lists this ribosomal RNA (458 nucleotides) under uncultured bacterium. RNAcentral describes it as "partial 16S ribosomal RNA". It matches the Rfam family "Bacterial small subunit ribosomal RNA", at positions 30 to 507 of the family's 1533-position model. The record is from RNAcentral.
AACGAACGCUGGCGGCAUGCCUAACACAUGCAAGUCGAACGAGACCUUCGGGUCUAGUGGCUCAUGGGUGCGUAACGCGUGGGAACCUGCCUUUAGGUUCGGAAUAACCCAGUGAAAUUUGAGCUAAUAUCGGAUGAUUUCUUCGGACCACAGAUUUAUCGCCUUUAGAUGGGCCCGCGUUGGAUUAGCUAGUAGGUGGGGUAGAGGCCUAUCAAGGCGGCGAUCCAUAGCUGGUAUGAGAGGAUGAACAGCCACACUGGAACUGAGAAACGGCACAGACACUGGCGGGGGGAAACAGUCGAGAAUACUACAGGAGGGAGGAAUGGGUGAUAUAGGAAAAUGGGGUAAAGGAUGAAGCAGUAAGGGUGGGUAAGUGAUGAAGGCGGGAGGGUAGGGAAGAAAGUUUAUACGAGAUGAUAAUGACAGUACCGGGAGAAUAAGCACCGGCUAACUCCGUG